Molecule: long non-coding RNA, 2826 nt
Filed under: Malus domestica (apple)
Lineage: Eukaryota; Viridiplantae; Streptophyta; Magnoliopsida; Rosales; Rosaceae
Description: long non-coding RNA (MDOM_LNC020804)
Source: RNAcentral
AUUAUUUUGAGUCAUUUUAAGUGUGUUUCGAGUUAUUAGAGUUUUUAGCCUAAUUUUGUGUCCUUAAGUCUUGUUUAAUAUUUUUAAAUUAAUUUAGAAUAGAUUAGCAAUCCCUCCUAAUCCCCGGCCUAGAACGAUACCCUACUUACAUCCAUACUACAAUUGUCAAAAAGAGGGUUUAAUUUGUGUGCUUAUAUAUUUCGCAUCACUUCAUAAGGCCUAUGGACCUACAAACACAUGAAAAUAGCUUAAAAUACUAAAAUAACUAAGAACUAAUUAAGUAAAUGCAAGGAAACAAGCUAAUUAAGUCGCAUAAAUAUGCUCCUAUCAAAUUGCCCCACACUUAGCUUUUGCUAGUCCUCGAGCAAAACGAAAAGAAACAAAACACAACUAGACAUUCCAACAUUUGCCUCAAGGAUUUCCAAUGCACAUGAUAUGUUAAAAAUCACUACUCACAUAGAUUUUAAUCAUCCUUACCCUGAAGCACAUACUUAAUCACAGUCACCACUUACUAGCUCACAUUUAAUCAAUUUAAAACAUGGUUUUGAAUGUAGUAACAUGCCUUAGAAAAUUCACUCAAUUCCUUACUAGGUGCUCUCUUAUUUUCACACAAUAAUUUCUUACUACACUCCUUACACUAGGUAUAUGUGAGAAGAUUAAUGUAAACAUAAAAACUAAUACUCACAUAUGUUAUAACAAAGAAAGCACUUUUCUAGAAUUAUUAAUGCAUGUAUAUAUAUGAUCUCAUGAACGGAAUGCCACUACUUAGAUGCGAGAACCAAGGAUACCAUAUGCUCAAACCAAUUCCAAACUCCACAUAUUGAAAUACACAACACUCAAGAUAGAAGUUGAGGGUUGUAACAGGGCUAAAGUGUUGGAAAUAUGCCUUGCAAGUCAAUCUUUGGAAGAAACCUUUCAGGAUAAUGAAUGUGUGUAUAGAUGACUCUUAUACAUCAAAAGGCAAAGAUACUAAUUAGGACUAUCUCAACAAACGAUAUAUGUCCUAAAUAGUGAAUCCAUGGACAAUGGAUCGAUGUAAGAAGUAAUCAAAUGAUGUUAGACUACAUAGACCUUCUUCACAUAACCAUCAUGUCCAAAAAGGUUCCUGGUCAUAUGAUUGUCAGAGGGAUACUGACAAUGCAAAGACCAGUAUAUACUGUGUCCCCUUCAAUUGGAAGGAUGGAAAGUCUUAUCCCAUUCGUGUAGUGACACUAAGACAGGUAUGUAGGUGCUCAUUAAGGGAAUGAGUUCACUGAACACAAUCGAACGAGAGUACUUGCAUGGAGGUCUACUCACAUGUCAAGCAAGUAACUCUAAUGGUUAGAAUAAUGUAAGUAGUCCUUUGACCUGAGGCAUCAUAGUUGUCUUGUGGUUCGGUACUUGAUCUUUGAUUAUGUCAAAGUCACUCCAUCCGCGGGUGUCCACGACAUAGUUGGGGUUAAGCCACUUAGUCAUGGAGGCAAGUGAAUGCGCAACAAGGAAUCUCUAAUCCUCGUUAAGAGAGGAUGAAUGCUCUAAGAUAUGAUUCGGGAAUCUUCGGCCGAAGUAUCGAGCGUAAUAAAGGAAAACGUUCCUAUACGACUCAAAUGAAUCAUAUAAGAAGGAAUAAUCACAUUAGGGGUUUGACAUAAUAUAUCCAUACCCUAGUAAUGUGAUUGAGAGUAUUGUUUUAGAGAAUGAUCGAAUUACAUUGUAAUUCCAACUGAAUAGGUUCUCCGAACAAAUUCUACAUUAACUUGGGUAGCCAUGAUAUAUGGUUAGAUGUCACUCAUGACUUGUGAGUUCUUCUAGAUGAUUAAAUGUAGUCGUCAAAGAAGAAGGUGAAUUAAAAGUAAGUUUUAAUUCACUAAGUGAUUGGAUUAAAAAUAAUCAAUUGGAUUGGUGCCAAUCACCUCACUGCCUUGCUAAUUAGAACCUAAAAUGAUUGUUCACCAAUACACUCUUGUAGUGAGUAACUAAUGGAUGAUGAAAAUAAUUAAUUGGAUUAAUUAAGUGUUGUGAUUAAUUAGAAUGUCUAAAGAAAUCAUAAAAGCGAUAAAAGAUCCUUUUGGGCUUAAAGAAAAGUUCGGGUCUAAUUGGGCACAUUGGGCCUAAACCCAUUGGGCUUUUAUUCAAGCAUAGGAUGACUUGAAAUAAUAAAAGCCCAAAGCCCAAACAACACUAAAGGAGCCGGCCAAAGGAGGGAGAGAGAGUCAAAUGUUGACUUGUUUCUUUUUGGUUAUAAAAGGAACUUUAUAGCACAAAGUUUCAUUAGGGUUUUUUGAAGUGUUAAAACAACAAAAGAGAAAAAUAAAAUAUCUCUCUCAACACUCAAAGGGCCGGCCACCAAAGGGGGGGUUUAGCUAAUCAUCUUCUCACCCUUUUGGUUAUUCCUUCAUCCUUCUCACUACUCUAGUGGGUGAGGAUCUUUAGAGGUCUUCAACUUUGGAGACUUAAGGAGAACCAAGGAGCACUCAUUCUAACAAAGUGGAGGAGGCAAGGAGGGAGGCUAGGCUCAAGGAGUUCCAACAACAAAGGGCUUGGAGGUGAUCCAUUCUUGGUCUAAAGUCUAGAUCAAGAGGUAUAAAACUACUACACUUUGUUUUUCAAUAAAUUGUUUUUGAUGCAUCUUACAUAAACCUACGCAUCUUGAAGGGGAUUUGCAUGACUAUAGCUUUGAUAUUAUUUGAUAACAUGCUUCCAUUGCUUUCGUAUAUAAAUUUUGAAUUGUAUAUGCAUGCUAGUCACUAGAAAUCCCACAUGAAAUCUCACAAUUUCCCUUCAAGUGGUAUCAGAGCCAAAGGUUUAUGUUUGAUGUGUCCUUUUGGAUUUUAUGCAUAUGGAUUU